RNAcentral lists this long non-coding RNA (27263 nucleotides) under Olea europaea (common olive). RNAcentral describes it as "long non-coding RNA (OEUR_LNC008179)". Lineage: Eukaryota; Viridiplantae; Streptophyta; Magnoliopsida; Lamiales; Oleaceae. The record is from RNAcentral.
UUUUUAAAAUUUUCUUAUCUAACUUGUCCUCCCACUAGACAUUGAGCUUUCCAUAUAAAGGGCCGUCACUUGUAUCAAAUGCAUCAAGAACAACACAAAACAAUUCCUUGUAACUCCUUGGCAUACUCAUUUCUGCAACCUUAAAAUAUGUCGUCCAAGGCAGAUCUUGCAAGAAUAGGAAAAGAAGGCUUCGCCAUACUUGAUGCAUAUUUUGGAAAAAACACGAGGUCUAAUCAACGAAAACCUUAUUCACAAGAAAAUAGAAGGUCCAGUUCUUAUGCAACAGGCUCGUGUUCAUCAGGUAAAACCAGAAGAGAAUAUUAAUUGCUAUGACGUGUUGCAGUUUAACGAAGGUGUAAUGGUCAAGGAUUAUAGGAGGAAAUCUCAAGCUGUGGCUUAGAUUCUAUGCACUGUGUUUUAUAUGUAACGAAGGCUCUCUUUUAUGCACUGUGUUUUAUAUGUAAUAGGAUGUAUAUAGGCACAAAUAAGUAUGCUUCCUUUGUAUGACACAAAAGUGGAGUCGGUUGUGUAAAUACUAGUGAUCACCUGGAAGUUUUAAGGGUAUGGAUGAAGUCUGUAACACUUUGUUAUAUGUAUUGAAGUGAUAUAAGAUGUAGUAAUAUUACCUUUUCUAUUAUUAUUAGUCUAAAAUUUAUGGAUUUGAAAAGUUCUCUAAAAGGAACCUCACAAGAACAUAGGCCACUUCGUUCAGAUUUUUCUUAGCUACUUUCCUCCCACUAUACAUUCAGAUAUAUAAAGGGAUUUGACUUUGUAUGAAAUGCAUCGUGAAAAACACAAAAAAUUUCCUAAACUUCUUCAUACUUUAUUUGUACCUUAAGAAAUGUCAUCAAAGGCAGAUCUUGCAAGAAUAGGAAACAAGGCCUUCGACGAAGCAUAUCCCAGAAAAAGGAUGGCGCCUAAUUCACAAGAACCUAAGCUGGCAUGUCUUUACCACUACCAAUCACAAUAGGUUUGUAUUUAUCGGUAAAAUCAAUGAGAUUAUGAACCGCUACAAGGUGACGCAAUUUCACAAAGGGUGAUGUUUAAGGAUUAUACGAGGAAAUCUCAAGCUAUGGGUAUUAGACUCUCUUAAAGCUUGCCUCGAACAUGCGAAGCCUCAAAAAGUUAAUAUAGAAUGGUUUGCAAAUAAUUCUCAAAUUUCUUGGGUAGUGUCAACUCUGUAGAACGUUUAAUCUCCAAAAAGACAAGAUUAAAUUGUAAAAUUCAAUCCAAUUAACCUCCAAUUAAUCCAUGUAAAAUAUGGAGCACUUGCAUUUUUGACCAAAUCGAUUAUUGAGGUGGGAUAAAUGUAAUGCAGGCCAAGUUCUAUUUUGUUUUGACAGCAUGUGUUCAUGUCUACUUAGGAUAAUAAAACCGUAUAGGCCUUCAAUAAGUUAAUGUAAAAUUCUUGUUCGUAUUGAAAACAAAAAUUGGUUAAAUGAAGAUGUAAUUUAUCGAAUGAACAUGAUGAAAUUUUGUAUUUUAAUCAAACAGGUGCCUGCCAACUUUUGUCCCUGCAAAGUCGAUCUAAGCUCAAAAUCUUAUUCGAUAUAUGCCCGAGUAUGUAGGCUGCAAAUUAGAACUAGGGACAGCCCAAAUGGAACAUGCCAAAAUUCAGGCCUAAUCGAGGCCUUAAAGGGGUUUAGGAACAGCCCAAUUAGAGUGCGUAGAUGUAGAAGUGGGAAUAAAUGGGAAAAUUAUCUAGAAACCUACAUUUAAAGACUAUUUUUCAAAAAUAAGGAUGAUUAAUUUUCAUUUCACAAAUCAGGUGUUAAUUAGAUUUAAUAAUUAUAAUUAAUGAAAAUUUAAUUAAACCAACGUACCACCGCCCCGUCCACCCAUUUUCUUCCCAAAUCCAAGCCCCAAGUAUUUUCAUUUUCCCACCUCUCUCUCUCUCUCUACAACCACCCACCCAACCAUCUUUCUUUUCGGCACAGUGAAGCCCAUUCCAUCCCCAUUUCAUUCCCAAAUUCAAGCCUCAGAUAUUUUCAUUUUCCCACAUCUUUCUUCGCUCUAUCCUCUCUCUCUUUUUCUACUACCACCCCCCAACCAUCUCCCUUUUCGGCGCAGUGAAGAAGAAUCUUGAAAAUCUUUAUUGAGAAAUAUUCAGUAAUCAAUGGGUUAGUGUUUUUUGAAGGUGUUGGUGGAAGUUAUGGUAGUGAUGAUUAUUGUUGUGAAUUUGAGUUAAAGAUGUUAGUAGUGGUGGUGGUUACUAUUUUUUCGAACAGAUCUAUUGUGGUGGGUGGAGAUUUGAUUUUUUCUGUUCGAGAUCUGGUUGUGACUAUUUGUGACAUAUUUUGUGUUGAUUGUGACCGAUUGUAACUUGGGAUUGAUCUAUUCACAGACAGUCACAUUGAAUACAAACUUGGUCACAAACCUCGUAUCAAUUUACCCUAAAUCUUGUAUCAAUUUUUAACCCACACAUUCUAUUUCUUUCCCCAAAAAUUAGUUCGGCACUCUCUUACCUAAAAAUCAGAUCUACGACUUCUUUCCCACCCACUCUCUAGAUUCCGACCACCUACCACUUUUCUCAUCGGAGUUUCAUGAGAGAAGUGUAGUGGUGUUGGUUGGUGUUUUUUGAAGGGUUGAUGGAAGUUAUGGUAGUGAUGAUUGUUGUGGAUUUAAGGUAAAUGUAGUAUUUAUGGUCAUCAAUUUGAGUUAAAGAUGUUAGUAGUACUUGUGGUUAUUAUUUUUUCAAAUAGAUUUGCUAUGGUGGUCGGAGAUCUGAUUUUUCUAUCCAAGAUCUGGUUGUGACUGUUUGUGAUCAAUUUUGUAUUGAUUGUGACUGAUUGUGACUUGAGAUUGAUCUGGCCACAGACAGUCAUAUUCAAUACAAAUUUGGUCACAAUUAGUCACACCAAAGGCAAAAUUGGUCGCGGUGAUUCUUAGAUAACAUAAGUCAACGAAUUGGUCACAUAUAACACAGGUAUGGUCACAAUAACACGGUUGCAAAUCUGAUAAGUACAAUGCACUACUACGACCAUCACAAUUUUUGGAGAUUUUUCUAUCAUCGGAGCCAGAAUAAUUGGUGGAAUAGUUGCCGGAGCCGAUGGCUAUCUCCGGUCUCCGGCGGAGAGAUGAAGGGAAGGUAGUGUAGUGGGGUGAUAGGAUGGGGUGAGUACGGUGGCAUGAAGUGAAAUAAUUAAUGUAUAUUAUAUUAUAGUUUAAUAUUUAAUAAAUAUAUUUACCAUCUGAUUUUUGAAAUAUUUCAAUGAGUUUGUUAUUUAUGAAAUGUGUUUUUAUAAUGUUGUAGUUAUGUAGUCUUCCCGGAAUAAAUUACAGUGGCCCAAUAAUAAUAAUCCAUAUAAGUAUCAAAAGAUCCCAAGGAAAUUAAAUGCUGGCCCCAAUUAUCCAAAGCUCAUAAGAAUGACCGUAGACACAAAUGGAAAUUACACCCCUUACCUAGUAUUACGUAAAAUUUCAAGAAUUACUUUGUAAUUAAUUUUAUCAUAGAAUUACUGUAGAAAAUAUAGUAAAAUAAAAAAUGAAGAAAUCGCCUCACCCAUACUUGAAAUCGAAACCCAGCUAGAUUGGUUCCCCCAAACACAUCCCUUACCAUAAUAAUAUCAUUCAUACUAGAUAAUUAAUUAUGAGCUGAAUUUUUUCGGCCAAACAUGCCCCUUACUAUAAUUUUACAUUCAAAAUUCCCUAGUUCACAUCGAUUCAUAUUCAUUCCUAUUAUUCUCCAUCUAGAAUCUUCUCAAGAAAUCGAAAUCAUCAACACAAAAUGAAACAAUUUUUAUAGAAGUUGAUAACAAAGCAUGGAUGAGAAAUCCUUGGAAUUAUUCAAGUGUAGAACAGUUGAUCUUUUGUUAAGGAGUUGGAUUUUCUCCGCAUCCUUUUUUUAGGUAUAACUUUAGCAACGAUCCCAAAUUUUUUGAUUUUUCCUAAACCUUACUUUAACCUACACUUUGUAUCACUCAUAGUUCCAAACCUUUCAAAAAUUAGCAUUUGGAGUCCAAAUAGAUUAUUUCUGUUAGUUUGACCGUUAGUUGACCAAUAAAUUUGAUUUUAACCAAUUUUAAAAUGGACAAAAUGAUAACUUUGAAUUAAAAAUAAAAAAACAAAAAAUCAAAACCUAGUCACUAUUUUUUAUCUUCUUCUUCUCACACCCACAUCCCACCUCCUCAUUAGCUCUUUGGCUGCGAAAUUGCUCACAAUCAGAGGAGUGCUUUUUUCUCAAAUCUCUAGCUGCAAAUUCUCUCAAAUCUUCGCCAGCUCUCUCGGAGAUCCAGUGCUCGAUCAUACUCCUUUGCCUACCAACAUGACUAUUCACACUACGCAGCCAUGGGUUCCUUCCCUCCUCAAUUUUCAGCUCCCACGGUUCUAUAUACUGUAAAAUCCUAGUAACAAUUCAGUCUACAAGCUCAUAGAAAAUAGAAAUAAUUAAUGAUUAUUACAUAUCUUCAUAUUUGGAGAGAAUUUGGCAAUUUGCCCCACCUAUCUUCUACCUCUAAUAAUAAUAGUGCCCUAAAUCAUUAGCAAUAGUAGCACAAGGCCUCUUUGCAGCUGGCAUACCAUGACGGUGGAGGUAGAGGAGGUGGCGGUGGCAGGAAGGGAUAAAAUGGUCCAACUAGUUCUGGGUUUAGGAGAAGGUGGGGUGACGAUGGUGGUGGGUAUGGGAGAAAGAAGGUAAAUAGUGACUAGGUUUUGAUUUUUUGAUUUUUUUUGUUUAAUAUUUUUCAUUUUUAAUUCGAAGUUAUUAGUCAAAGUCAAAUUUAUUAGGUCUAUAGACUGUUAAACUUACAGAAAUCAUUCAUUUGUACCCCAAUGCUAAUUUUUGAAAGGUUUGGGAACGUGGGUAUUACAAAGUGAAAGUUAAGGUAAAGUUUGUGAAAAAUCGAAAGAUUUGGAACCGUCGCUGCAAUGAUCCUUUUCUUAUUCACAUGUUGCAUGUGAUAUGGUCGAAUGUGGAUUUAUAAUCAAUAUGUUUAUUUCACAGUCACUAUAAACCCUUUUUUUCCCACCCUUUGCAACUUUAAUUGUAGAUUGUAUGUGAUAAAGUAUGUAGAGAAUACUCACAGAGAUUCGAUCUAGGCAUUUCAAGAUUUAACUUGGUUUGCCAACUAUUUAAACAUGGUUGUGAGAAGAUUAUUGAAGCCUAUGAUAUAAAUUUCGACCUUGUGUCACGUAAGGUUAGGCGUGACAGAAAGAUGAAGGGGUGGUUAUUGAAUACUAUAGAAUGACAAGUCACGUAUUCUUUUGUCUAUUUAUAUUGAAUAACAAUGGCAGAUUCUAUUCUUUUGAGCAGUAUAGUUAAUUUCAACUUUUGAAAUGUUUCACAUUACUGCUAUAGUGGCUUUUAACAUAUGAAAAUGUCAGUAUUAUACUCUUUGUUGUUUCUUCAUUCAUACUCCAUGAUUUUAAAAUUGUGUUUUCUAUUCAUAAUUUUGAAAUUGUAAACUUCUAUUGGAAAUGUAUAUGAAUCUGAUAUACGUAACAGUUGGAAUUUAGUUUGAAAAUUACAAGACCAUAUCCCCAAAAUUCAAACCAUAUAUUAUAUUGCCAUAUUGUACAUUUAAACAUUUCGAACGUUGCUAUCUAUCCAUGUUACUUAGUUUUUAUGUUGAUAAGAAAAUUGAGCAAUUGCCCAGAAAGCAAGCAUUGGCUGAGAACUCUAAGAUUGAGAACACUAGUAUAUCGUGGAGUUUGUGUGAGUAGUCAAACAGGAAUACGCCACAAGGUAUAUCUAGCAUUUCCAAUUUGGGUAAAUCAUGUAUCCAUGAGGUAGAAAAUAAUAAUGACGAAGAGGCAUCAUCCAAUGAUGUGCUUGCCUAAUCUCAGUUGGCUGAAAGUGAGCAAGCAACAUAUGCAAGUACAAAAAAUGAUCUUAAAAAGAACAAAAUAUCACACAUUUAGUAAAUUGAUUCGUGAACAAAAAUUUACACAUUUCGAAUUGAAUGUAUAUGUAGUUGAAGCAACUUCUUGAAACGUGAAUUACAAUUCAUUUUAAGGUCUGAAAACAUUACAUGUACAAAAAGGAAAAAAAUGAAGGAAUGAUUACCUUUCUAAAGUAGCGACAGCUUCUUGAUGGAUAGAUAUAAUAGAAAAUAAUGAGAACAAUGACUAUCUCCACAUACACACUGGGAUACGGUUUGCCCACUUCUGAUUUUUUGAAUUCUGUACUCAUUAAUUUGGAAAUGAUAUUGAAUGAUCCUUAAUCCUAGGGUCAUUUAAAAAAUUUCAAUUAGAAAGACUGUUUUGAUAUAUAUUUGGCAUAUAGUAUUUCUUAAAAUAUUUUCUGUAUCACAAAGUAUUACUUAAAUUAUAAAUGUCACAUAGUAAAUCUUCAAAUUUUAUUUUGUAAUGAUGUAGAUAGAAAAUUUUCCAUAGACAAAUUAUUUUGAAGAAGAAAUAGAUUCCCAUGGCCCAAAAGAUAAAAUGAAAGAUUUAAUAGGCUCGAAUUCUUUUGAGAGGUUAUGAGGCCUAAGUUGUGAACCAUUUUCCAUAAGAAUUUAGCCCAAACCGCCACAACCUUGGAUGAAAUUGAAAAUAAUUUUCAACCUAGUCGUAAAAGUCUACUCCAUUUGGCAAUCAUAAGUCUACAAGGAACGCAGAAAAUAAUCUCACUUCUUGGUGUUAAAUGUUGAGCCAAUUAAUGGACCAAAACAAGACCCACACAUCACGGACUGCUUUGAUGGUCUUUGCCGGAGGUUUGGUUGCACGUGUUUACCUUGACCUUCGUUGCCAGAGACUCUGGCUUUUUCCAAAAUCCUUGCUAUAUUUUAAUUUUAAUUUUGUUUUUUUUUUUUUUUUGGAUUGAUAAAUGCAGUAAAACAUACAAGCAAGAGGCUGGAGCAAAUUGAGUGCAUAAUUUCAACUAUGAAUAUGUUUGUCUUGUGAAUGUUUUCUUUAUUCCACCGGAGAAAAUUUUUCUCAUCCCAACAUUCUUCAACUGACUUAUCUAACUUCUAAUAAAAAGGGAAAUGAAAGUCUAUUAUUCAUGCAAUUGUAAAUGAAUCCAAUUUUACUAUGCAUGAUGUCAUUUUUUAUUUUCCAUUUUGUUUAUGUCAAACAAAUGUUCUUCCACACAUCAUCUCACUAGCAUUAAAAAAAUAAUUAUGUCAUUUUUUAUUUUUCAUUUUGUUUAUGUCAAACAAAUGUUCUUCCACACAUCAUCCCACUAGCAUUAAAAAAAUAAUUAUAUCAAACAAAUAUUUUUCCACACAUCAUACCACUAUCAUUAAAAAAAUAAUAAUAAUUUUAGUAAAUAUAAACUGCCAUGAGGAAAAAAAACUCUUCGCACAUGAGUUUUAAAAAAAAUAAAAAUAAAUUUUCCAUAUAGUGUGGAGAGAUGGAAAACCAUGUGCGAAAUAGAAAAGGAAGAAAAAACUCUCCGCAUAGUACGAAGAGAUAGUAAACCAUGUGCGAAGACUUGUCAAACUCUCCGUACAGUGCGAAGUAAAAAAAAAUCUCUCCGUAUAGUGCGAAAAGAUGGCAGCACAGAGUGGAGAGAUGGUAAAACUCUCCGCACAAUGCGGAGAGAUAGAAUUCUGUGCGGAUAAUGUCAUAACGUGCGAAUUCUCUGUACAGUGCGAAGUAAAAAAAAUAACUUCGCACAGUGCGGAGAGUUGGCAAACUCUCCGUACAGUGCGAAAUUAAAAAAAAAUCUCUCCGCACAGUGACUGUCAUGUGCGUUGCACAAAUUUUGCAUUUAUUGUAUUUUUAUUAGUGUAUGAAUUUUAAUUUUUUGAAAAGUUUUUGAAGCAAUAUCUAGAAAUAUUUUCAUGAUAUAAGAAAAUAAUUGUAAAUUAUUUUUACAAUUGCAUAAUAGUAUUGUGUUAUUUAGAAAAAAAUAUACUUGUAUAUUUCAUAUUUGAAUAAGAAAUAUAUGAGAUUAUACAAAUUAUUUUGCUUGUAUUAUUUGAUAGUGUUAAUAUAAUUGAGUUGACUCUGAAUAUUAUAUUUAUAAAUUUUGUGUAAUACAAUAUUAGAAAAUUGAAGAUUGAGCUUCAUAUUCAUAUGUAUUUAUAUUUUAUGCUUCAUAUAUAUUUAAUAUUUAUUUUAUGCUUAUAUUGAAAAAAUUAAAAAAAAUCUGAAAUUUUUUUGAAAUUCGGUUUGGUAAGUGAAUGUACGGUGUUCUGCAGUCUCGGUAAUUUUAAGUGCAAAAAUCGGUAUAUAAAAAUACAGUAAACUGCAAAUACGAUAGGCAGCGUAUACGGCAAGUUGCAAAUACGGUAGGCAAUAUAUAUGGUAAGCUGCAAGUACGGUAAGGUGAAAAUACGGUAAAUUGCAAAUACAAUAGACAGCAUAUACGGUAAGGUGUAAAUACGGUAAGCUGUAUAUAUGGUAAGCUACCUGCAAAUACGGUAAGCUGCAUGUAUGGAUUUAAAAUUUGUUAUAAAUGUAUAAAUUUUAUUUAAUAUUGAAUUUUUUAAAUAUUAAAUGUUGUAAUAUAAUAUUGUUUCCUUUUUUAUAAUUGUAUUUUCGAGAAUAAAAAAAAAAAGUGGUUAUGAAAUUACUAAUUUUUAAAUGUGUUUUUUUGUUGAAAAUAAAAAUGAUUUUUUAUGUUAUUUGUAAAAAAAAAAAUUAUUAUAAUUUUAUUAGCUUAAUAAGAAGAUUUAUUAUGCAUUUUUAUUUUUUUCAUUUUGUGAAGAAUUUUAUUUGUGGUGAUUGACAAAUAUUCUUCCACACACGUAUCAUGCCAACAACAUUAAAAAAAAAAUAAUAAUAAUUUUAGAUAUAUAAACUCCAUGAGACAAAAAAAUCUCCGCCCAUGAGUAAAAAAAAAAAAACUCUAUAAAGUGCGGAGAGAUGACAAACUAUCUCUUUACACAGUGUGAAGAGAAAAACAAAAACUCUCGGAACUUUAUCUGCAAGUUCCAAGAGGCCUUUUCUUAAACAACUUUUGAGCAAUGCAUUGAACACAUUAAUUCCUAGCCCACAAACCGAAAGUAUAAUUUCAUUGAAAAUUGUAUCCACUUCUAAUGUCCAAGAGCUGUUAUCAAGCAAGUGUAAAAUAUUGAAUUUGGGUGGUAUCCUAUAGCCUCCAUUUGUGAAAGUAAUAUCAUGGUACUAUCAAUGUCACAUUCUUUGCACAGCUCACAUAUUGUUUCAUUAUAUGAAUCACAAGAAAGCUUCUUUCCAAUACUAUAAAUAUGAUUUGCAUACUCAGAAAUUAAACUAUGACUGAAAUUUAAAGAAGACAUAAUUGAUUUUGAGUCAUAUUUUUCGACUCUAUUUCGUUGUAUAUACGAAAAAUUUGUAAUCUUGAAAUUUGACUUGUAAUUAAGGAAUUUGAAAACAAUUCUCCACACUGUACGGAGAGUUUUUUCUCUUUGUACUGUGCGGAGAGCUGGUUUGUCAUCUCUCCGCACUGUGCAGAGAGUUUUUUUACUCCGCACUAUGCGGAGAGAUUUUUUUCCUCUCUGCACUGUGCGGAGAGUUUUGCCAUGGUGCGAACCAACUCUUCGCACUGCACGAAGAGAUUAACUCUUUCCGCACAUUGCGGCGAGUUUUUUUUGCUCUACGUACUGUGCAGAGAGUUGGUCUGUCAUCUCUCCGCACUGUGCGGAGAGAUUUUUUUUUACUCCACAUUGUGUGAAGAGUUUGCCAACUCUCCGCACAACUCUUUGCACAUGGUUCAACUCUCUCCGCACUGUUCGGAGAUGUUUUUUCUCUCUGCACUUUUUUUUAUUUUUUAUUUUUACUCCGCUCUUGGUUCAACUCUCUCCGCAUUGUGCGGAGAGUCUUUUUUUUUCAAUUUUAUAAUAUUGAAUUACACAAAAUUUAGAAAUAUAAUCUUCACAUUUAAUUCAACUAUAUCAACAUUAUCAAAGAAUACAAGCAAAAUAAUUUGUAUAUUUUUUAUUCAAGCAUGAAAUAUACAAGCAUAUUUUUUCUAGAGAACAUACUGCUAUGCAAUUGUAAAAAUAAUUUACAAUUAUUUUUUUAAAUCAUGGAAAUAUUUUUAGAUAUCGCUUCAAAAAAUUUCAAAAAAAAAAAACUAAAAUUCGUACACUAAUAAAAUAUGAUAAAUACAAAAUUCGCGUAACGUAUGUGAUAGCGAUUAGUUUUAUAAUGGUUUGAUCAUGGUCAUUCUCCAAAAUGAUUAAAAGGUAAUGAGCCCAUGAACUUAAGCUUAAAAAAAUCGAUGGCCAAUGAAUGAAUUUGCUGUUUCAAAAUGAAAUCAUGAAUGUUGGAGAGACAAUUAACAAAAAGGAUGCUGAUUUCUCCCUUUUGCAGGUCGCAAAGUGUAUACUUUGGGCAGGCUUGUUUGAUUUUUUUUUUUCCUUUUUCUUCCUCUUGUUCACUUUUUGUGCCCUCUAACACCUUUCUCAAAUCUUUUACCGAUUACCAUUUUCACAGCAGGUCUCUUCAAGUUUUUACCAUAAAAAUUCCUUUUACCUCAGCAAGUUUUAGGUUCAUUUUCUUCACUUUCAAGAAUAUUUGGUCGACUUUUUCUCACGUGAUUCCUUCGUGGUUAAAUAUACUGAUUUUCCACAGAUGGCGUCAAUCUGUUAACCUCUGAAAAUGGACAAUAAGUGUCGUUUAAAAAUCACGAACACGUGGAUAGAUUCCUCACAUGGACUCACCUCUUCAUUGUAAAUAAAUCACACACACACACACAGUAUAUAUAUNNNNNNUAUAGGCCGGACCAAGUUUCAAGCCCAAUGAGAGGGCCCAAUAUUAGAUAAUUAUAUAGGGAUAAAAAAAAAAUAGAAAGGAACGAACUUCCUUUAGAUAGUCUCCCAAGCAGCGCCUUUGUUUAUUUUCUUUGGCUAGACUUGUUGCUUCCUUAUUUAGCUAGUAUAAAUUGGAUGUUUAAGGUCCACUGUUGUCACGCCCUCUACUUAGAAGCCUUCAUAGAAAGGUUUGAGUUUAUGGCCAUUCACCUUGAAAACUUUUGAAGUUACCAAACUUUGAAUUUCAACUGCACCAUGAGGAAAAGCAUUAGAACAAAAAAUGGUCCAAUCCAACGAUAAAGCAACCUACCUGAAAAUUAAUGAAGCCUGGAAUGGUAUAGAAGGACUUUUUGACUAACUUUAAACUCCUUGCUAAAGAUCAUCUUGUCAUGGAAAGCCUUCGUCUUUUCCUUGUAAAUCUUUGGACUCUUAUAGGUGUCAUUAUGAAUUUCCUCUAAUUCUUGAAGUUGCGACUUUCUAUGUUUUCCACUCUCAUCCAUCCUUCGUCAUAUUGAAACAAGCCCAUUAAGCUUUGUGUUCUAACUCCACUGGAAGGUGGCACGGUUUCCCAACCACUAACUGGUAAGGUGACAUGCCAAUGGGUGUCUUAUAUGUAUGCCCACAAAGCAUCAUCUAAGUGUAGAUUCCAAUCUUUUCUAAUUGGGUUGAUCGUCUUUUCAAUAAUGGAUUUGAUUUCUCGAUUUGAUACCUCUGCUUGUCCACUAGUUUGUCGGUGAUAGGAAGUCGAUACCUUGUAGGUUACAUUGUACUUUCUCAGCAAGGAUUCCACAGUUCGACUAAAAAAAUGAGUGGCUGGAUCACUUAUGAGAGCCCUUGAAAUCCCAAACUUGGAGAAUAUGUUAGAUUUGAUAAAAUCUGCAACAACUUAGAACCAUCAGUCCUGGUGACCAUAGCUUCCACCCGUUUUGAGACAUAAUCAACAUUAAGAAAAGUGAAAACAUAACCGAAAGAUACAGGAAACUGUCCCAUGAAAUCAAUGCCCCAAAUAUAAAAAAUUUCGCAAACUAAUAUAGAUGAUUGUGGCAUUUCAUUUUGUUGGGAUAUAUUACCAGUCAUUUGACAAUGUUCGCAUGACUUAUAGAAAGAAUAUGCAUUUUGAAAUAAAGAUGGCCAAUAGAAACCACAUUCUGACACUUUUCUCGCUGUCCUCUUUGAUCUAAAGUGACCUCCACAAGCAUAAUAGUGACAAAAGGUGAUAAUAGACAUAGCUUCAUUUUUAAUAAUGCACAUUCUUAUCACUGGAUACGUACCAUGAUUUCAUAAGUGGGGUCAUUCCAAUAGUAUUUUGCCUCACUCUUGACCUUAUCUUUUUGGGCCGUGGACAAACAAUGAGAGGUCAUCUUAGUAACCAAAUAAUUUACAAUGUUUGCAUACCAAGGUGAUGUCAUGCCUGUAGAGAAUAAUUGCUCGUCAGAGAAUAUUUCAUACAAUUAGCGUUCAUCAUCUACGCGAGCUAAACGACUCAAAUGAUGCAACACUUUUUCUGUUUCUCUUUUGCCUUUAAUCUCCAAAUUGAAUUCACUCAAAAGAAGUAUCCAUCAUAUUAAUUUUGGUUUUGCCUCCUUCUUUGUCAUUAGAUAACGCAGAGCUGCAUGAUCAAAAUAAAUAAUUACUUUAGUACCGAGUAAAUAAGGAUGAAAUUUAUCUAAAGUAAAAACAACAGCUAAAAGUUCUGUGUAAUAAUUUCUCUGGGCAUCAUUUAAAGUUCUGGAAGCAUAAUAGAUGGCAUGGGAUGUGUUUCCAAUUCUUUGACUCAAAACUGCGCCUACUGCAAAGUUUUUUGUGUCGCAUAUUAUCUCAAAGGCAAAGUUCCAGUUACGAGGUUGAAUAAUUAGGGCAGAAUUCAAUAGUUCCUUCAGUUUAUCAAAUGCCUUCUUACAAUCCUUAUAAAAAUCAAAAGCCACAUCCUUUUUGUAACAAUUCGCAUAAAGGCAAUGCUAUUUUGGAGAAGUCCUUGAUGAAUUUGUAGUAGAAACCUGCAUGUCCAAAAAAAGAACGAACUUUCUGCGCACUAGAGGAGUAAGGUAAAGAUUGAAUAAUAUUAAUUGUUAUUUUAUUUACCUCAAUUCCCUUAGAUGAAACAACAUGUCCUAAAACUAUGCCUUAUUCAACCAUAAAAUGUCAUUUUUUUUUGAAUUCAAGACAGGGUUAGUCUCUAUGCAUCUUUUAAGGACAAGUGUAAGGUUAUGCAAACAGCUAUCAAGGGAGUUUCCAUAGACUAUAAAAUCGUCCAUAAAGAUCUCUAUGAUAUGCUCAAUGUAAUCAUAAAAUAUAUUAACCAUACACCUUUAAAAAAUGGCUGGAGCAUUGCAAACACCAAAUGACAUGCGACAUUAUGCAAAAGUUCCAAAUAGGCAUGUAAAAGUUGUCUUUUCUUGAUCCUCCAAGGCAAUUGCAAUAUGAAAAUAACCUGAAUAACCAUUAAGAAAGCAAUGGUAAGAAUGACCAGCUAACAUUUUAACUAUUUGAUCAAUAAAAGGUAAAGGAAGUGGUCUUGCAGGUUAUAACAUUCAAUUUUCUAUAAUCUAUACAAACCCACCACUCAUUUUGAACACGGGUGGUAACUAACUCAUCAUUAUAUUUUUUACAAUGGUUAUCCUAGUCUUUUUAGGAACUACUUGAACUGGGCUAACCCAACUGCUAUCAAAGUAGGAUAAAUCACUCCAACUUCGACAAGCUUGAGGAUUUUCUUCUCCACUACAUCCAUCAUGGGCGGGUUCAAUCUCCUUUGUGGUUGACGGGAAGGUCUUACUUCUUCAUCAAGUAAAAUGCAAUGCAUGCAUGUGGAUGGGCUAAUUCCCUUAAUAUCUGCAAUUGUCCAACCAAUAGCUAUUUGAUGUUUCUUAAGAACUUGCACCAAUUUGUCUUCUUGUGAUGCACUCAGUUCAUUUGAAAUGAUCAUCGAUAAUGUUUCUCCAUCUCCAAGGAAUAUAAACUUAAGAUGGUCGAGGAGAGGUGUCAUGUCCAGAGUGGGAGCUUGCAAGACAAAAGGUAAUGACUUCUCGUUAAAAACUGGUAAUGCAAUAUAUAAAACAUUACCUGUUUGUUGUAACCUUGAAAGAUCAUUCAAUGUUGCAAUUGUUUCUUGCAAGUCAGCGCUCAAGGCUAGCUCCUCACUCUUUUUCUUCGGAUGCUCACUAAUGGCAACUUGCAAUGUAUCUUUUCCAUCAAAUUCAAAAACUUCUUGUGCUAGAUAGUCAAUUACAUCAAUAGAGUAGACAUCAUUAUCAUCACUAAGAAAUUUUAUGGCGUCAUAGAUAUUAAAUUUGAUUAUUUCACCAUCAAAUUCCAUUGUAAGUGUGUCUUAUGUACAUCUAUUUUUAUUUUGGAUGUUUUUAAGAACGAUUUUCCUGACAAAAUAGGUAUAGUUUGAUCACCAGUUUCUAUAUCAAGUACAUAAAAAUCAGUCGGGAAAACUAAUCUAAUCGAAUCAUGAUACCAAUUUUAUUUAAAGGUUUAAGUUUUAAAGAAGUAUAAAUAGAAUAUGGCAUGACGUUUAUAGAAGCCCUUAAGUCUAACAUGGCCUUCUCAAAUUUUGUGUCUCCUAUCACGCAAAGGAUAGUAAACAUACCUGGAUCUUUGCACUUUGCAGAGAGUUUUCGUUGAAUAACUGCAGAGAUAUUUUCCCCAACUCUCACCUUUUCACACCCCUUGAAUUUCUGUUUUCUCUUAAUGGUGUACAAUUCUUUCAAAAACUUAGCAUUAUGAGGUACUUGUUUAAUAGCAUGUAAAAGUGGAAUAUUAAACUCGCAUCUACGAAAAGUUUCAUAUAGAUCUUUAUUUUGUUUACCUUCCCAAGAUUCUACUAAGGCUUGAGGAAAAUGGGGUACGGGUUUAUAACCAGAAAGAGAUGGAAACUUACAUUUAGGUGCAUCAUCGUCGUGGAGAACACAUUGUCUGUAGUGACAUCUUCUCCUUUCCUUGCUUUGACAUUGUGGGGACUGUCUUCAUCGGGAUUUCAACCUCUUUGCCAUUCCUUAAUACAAUUGCACCUAUAUAUUUUUCCUUGGGGUUUACCCCAGAUUGAGAAGGUAAUUUUUUUCAAACUUUGUGAUUCUAGCUAAUUAAUUACAGUUGCCAUUUGACUCAUUUGAUUUUCCAAGCUUUGAAUAAUUGCCUUUGUCUCCUGUUGAAAUUACAAAGUGUUAGUGGCAAAGGAUAUAACAAUAUCCUCUAAAGACAUACCAGAAUUAGAAGUUUGGCCUUGUUGUUGUCCAGAAGAAUAUGACUACUUAUUUUGCUGAAAUUUUGGGCAAUUUUGCUACAUAGGUUGAUUUACUUGUUGAUUCCCGUAGCUAAGAUGAGGAUGAUCUCUCCAUCCUGGGUUAUUGUGUUCGAAUAGGGAUCAUAAUUCCUUUGCAGUUGUCUAAGAAAACCACUUGCUGCAUUUACUUCUUCAAUGGGAUCUUCUAGAAAUGGUGGGCACAUAUCCAUUGAAUGUCCUACCACCGAACACAUCCCACAAGCUUUUGUUAUCUGCAUAAUACCUAUAGCCAUUUGAAGAGCAAGAGAAGUUAGACUUUCAAAUUAUUGUUCAAUGGAUGAAAUUUUUACCUCAUUAACAUGUUUAGAUGAGGUGUCGAGUCUAGUGUCAAAUUGCUGAGAGGUGGCUGCCAUACUUGCAAUUAAGUUCUUCACUCUUACGGAAGUUUUAUCCAUCAAAGCUUCUCCACUAGCAGUAUCGAUCAUACUCCUAUCAGUUGGUAGAAGACCUUCAUAGAAAUACUGGAUGUGAAGCUGCUCACUAAUUUGAUGAUGGUGACAACUUGCACAUAGUCUCUUGAAAUGCUCACAGUAUUUGUGUAGGGAUUCUUUAUUGUCUUGUCUUACACCACAUAUUUCUUUUCGAAUGUUGGCUGUGCUUGAAGAUGGAAAGCAUUCCUCUAAAAACAACCUUUUCAUCUCUUUCCAUGUCGUAAUACUCCCCGAUGGUAGAUAAUAGAGCCAGUCCUUAGCUGAAUCUUUCGAAGAAAAUGGGGAGGCCCUCAAUUUAGUUUGUUCUUCAGCUACGUCCCCAGGUUUCAUACUCAUGCAAACCGUGAUAAGUGCUUUUUACAAACUUAUUAUGUCCACAAAAUAUGAUGAAUUGUUGAUAAAAGUGUGUGAAUACGGCUUAAUUCUAUGUCAUUGUGUUUUAUAUAACUAUAUUUAUAAAUAUGGUAGAAUUCAAGAGAAAGGAAACGAAAAAGGACCAACUAGAAGAAAAUGAAAGUUUAAGAACCAAAAUGUAAAUAGUCAAAAGAUGACCCGAAGGAAGAAACGAGAAUACAAAUGAGCUAAAUACUAAUAUAUUGAAGACAUGGGGUUUGGAAGACAAAAAAAUGGAAAAAGAUAUCAAGAACUAAGAAAAUGGAAUUCGGGGAUCAAAAUGAAGAAUUUGGAAAUGUGAAGACUUCGUGCAAUCCCAUGGUGUUUUCCUCCAUGCAAUUGCAAGGGAGGCUGCAGAGAAUUUAGAGGCGGAAUUGGGAGAACCAUGUGGUCGCGUGGUGUUAAUUUGGCGCGGGAUUUUCAGUUUUCUUCUGCGAUUCAACUUUUUAUGGAAACAAAUCUUGGAACUUAUAUAAAAAUCCCUAGAGCCGUCAAUUUUAGGGGAAAACACAUGGGAAGACAUUCUGACAUAUUUUGAAGGAGAUUUUGAGCAAAAACGCAAAGAGAAACACAAACCAUCGAUAGGAUUACACGAAGAUUCAAUUAGAACAUUAAACUGAUGAUGUCGUUUCUUAGGAUUUCUUUGUAUUUUCUUAUUUUUCCCUAGGCUAGAUAUUUUUUUAAUAGGCGAACGAUGAACCAUGUGAUGUAAUCUUUUGAUUUCUAGUUUUACAUUCUUGACGAUAAAACGCGUUCUUUGAAUUUGAAUGAUUUAUAUGCACUUAUUUUCUCCACAGUUAUUGUGCACAUGAUUUUGUGAAUCUUGUGGAGUAUUUCAUGCAUUCGAGAGAAGGGAAAUAGGCUUGAUAGGGUACGAAUCAUCGUAGGGUUCGAUAGGGGAUAGAGAUAUAGUACUAUGCCCUACGUGAAUCUCUAUGUGUUCACAAAAAUCCAUGCAUUCUUGUAUUCUUGUAUCCGUCAUAGAGAUAUAAAUGGAUUGUAUAUGAGAGUAGGUUCAACAAUACUUAGAGAGAGAUUGUUGAAUAAAAUAGAAACAAUGAUUCUUCAACUUCAAACAUGUUGUCAAUUUGUAGAACUAGGGUUAAAAGGGAUCAUUGCAUGGGGAUUCGCGAUCUUAGUGUCUCUCUUAUCCAUUAGAUUCAUCAAACUUGUGUUCAAAUGUAAAUUACAUUUUAGUUUCGUUUAAAUAAUUCAUAAUUGCAUACAUAGGUUAGUUUAAUUAUAUUCACACCAUAGCUAUACUUCUAAUAAAUUGGUUUCGGUUAAGGUCGAGAUAAGUAAAAAUUGAACUAAUUUAAUCUCUGUGGGACGAUAUUUAAAACUCAACAUUCCACUUUAUUACUUUUCACGAACUGUACACUUGCGGUGUUUAAAUCGAAAUAAUAUUUUCCUAACCAUACCAUAUGAAAUUCCUUUAAAUGUUUAUGGGAAUCUUUACAUGCAAGGCUAUGGAAAGUAGGCAAAAGAUGUAUUAGUCCAUAUUUAGAUUCAAAUGUAGUAGUAUCAUCUAGACCGGGGAAAGUUAUGCAUAAGAGUUGUUGAUGCAAAUCCGGAGCUGCAAACUCUUUCAAAGUUCGAGUCCCAGCCAUGACUUCCCAUUUCUCUCACUCGGAAUCACUGGCAAAUAGGGGAUUAUGGAUAAGAUCGUAUUCUUCGAAAUUCCACCGAAUGUUACUCCUUUACUUGUGCAAAGUUCUCUCUACUUCUGGAUUGUACUGCAAAUCGCCUUGAUUAGAAGAUCGAUUUAUUGUCAUAAAUAGUCAAGAAAGCUCUAAAAGAAUGAAAAACAAAUUACGAAAAAACUAGAGUAAUAAAAAUGAACAACGAUUCUAUGCUAAAACACCGAAAAAGAUAAUAAAAUGCCUAAAAAUCCUAGAAAACGAUGGAAUUUGGCUCCGAGAGGGGUUUUUAGGUGCUUACAAUUCGAAAUUAAUGCAAAGCCAUGCAAACUAAUGGAGGUACAUAGAAAAAUUGUCUUAUGCUGAAUGCUUUGGAGAAAAAACUAGCACAAAUUAUCCAAAGAUUCUAUCAAAUAAUCCACUCAAAGACAUCAUUAUUUGAGCAGUCGUUUGGUAAAGUGGAUUCGAUAUUAUUCAAUUUUAAGCUAAAAUUAAGUAAAAUUUAUAUUCCCUAAAUGGAAUUAAAUAAAAAUUCAGAAAUUUGAAUAUUCACCUUCCUUUUAUGGAUAUUAGGAACCAAUGUUGAAUAGUGUUGGACUGUAUUGUCACAUAUAUUCAACAGAAAAUAAGAAAAAUUCUUAAUUAAGAUUCUAUGAGCCAUUUUUUUUUAAUCAUAAACCUAGGAAAUACAUUAAUUUAAUUUUUGAAAUAUUGAAGCCAUAUCCGUUAUUAAGGAGUUUCAACUGUUUAAGAAUAAUUACAUAAUAUAUGUUACAAAGUUUUAUGUUGAUGGUCAACUUAGAGCAAUCCUCCUCUUUUUCUCGAGUUCAUGACUAACUAGAAAACUAUCAGGGUCGUUUAGAGGUUAAGUUGUUUAAGAAAAGUGUACUAUUAAAAACAUUUCUAUGGUGAGAAAAGAAAUUGCAUGCAGUUGCCUCAAAAUUUUAUAUAAAAAUUUUAUUUUUUUGUUUCACAACCUUUUUUAUUGAGGAAAAUUUGUUGUAACCUGAAUUUGAUGCACUUUCAUGUUUUAAGUGACUAAGAGUCUAGUUUGGUACAAUUUUUGCUUUAACUUCUUGUAGAAAAGCUUUUUUAGCAAGUUGCUUUAGAAGAGCUUCCACACAAAACAUUUUCACUGAAUUAUUCAAAUAUAUACAAUUCAAAUAUAUACAAAAGCAGUUUUUUAUUUUUUAGAGAGCGAAGAGCAACUCGCAAAUGUUAGAUAUUUUUCAUUAUUUUGCAUGUAUUUAUUUUUGUUUUGCAAAUGAUUUUUCGCCCCGACUAGUAUUUGCCGCUGCGCAACGGGGAUCGACCUCCAGUAGAUGCAUCUGUUCGUUUUUUUAACAGUCACCUCCAGUAGAUGUAUACAAAGAUUUCAAGGGACACACCUAUUCAAACGGUUGCCUCAAUUUCUAUAAAUUCCGGGCGAAUUCUCGUUUGCAAAACACAUUAAAAAAAUUUAUUCUUCUUUCUUUUCUUGAUAUCAAUCAGUUAUUUUCAAGUGUCUUCUUGGUUUGAUCAAAUAGUCAGAAUUUGAAUCAAACGUCUCCAUUGUAUCCCGAGAGAGAUUUUCUAUCAUACCCCAGUUGUGACUUUGUUGAAUAGGGAAGAAACAUCUCUUAAAAGAUAACGUUUUUUCGUGCCUUGGAGUUCAUUAAGUAUUCAGAUUUCCCUAUAUUUUUAUCAACAACAAACUGUGUUGUAUUCUGUUGAAAAGGAUCCUGGGAAAUCAGAGUGAGGAGCCUUGGGCAUGGUCAUACGUGGAGGAAAUUCGCAUAUUGCCUAUGAUGGAAAUCCAUUCGUGUUACUCGACACGAUGAAUCUGAGUCGAGUAUUCGUGGACAUCAAAUCACGAGUGCAGUGGAAGGUGGUAUAACACUUGAACAGACAUAAUAUUCCAUUUCUAAAUCAAGUACCGGCAAGGUCUUGCUCGACUGUGGGGAUUUGUGGUUAAAUUUCUGGGGGUGGAUUUGGCUUUUUAUGUAGAAAAUAUGGCCUUGCUGCAGACAAUGUUGUGGUUGCAUUUCUUGUAAAUUGAAAGAUCGAGAAGCAAUGGAAGUAUUUCUUGAAAAAUUAUGACAGGUUGGUUAAAGCCAAGACACUGAUAGAUCCACCGAAUGUUUUCAAGCAUGAGCAAGGUAUUUUUCCAGUGCCUGCAGAUGAUGGCAGAUCAAACAUUUGAAGAAUGAGGUACAUGAAAAAGAUUUAUGUAAUCGACUACAAAUAUAUCGUAAAUAAAGUUUAACUUCUUGUUGGUUCUUAUCCCCGGAAAAUAAUUUAUAAAAAACCCAAGCGUGUUUGACAAAAAAAGUUACUUAUAAGUAACUUAACAUUUGAUCACGUAAUCACUUAGGAAUACUGUUUGGUCGAUAACAUUCCUGUGAUCUUCAAUCUUCGUGUCAACUAUAGAACUCAUGGAUGUAACUUUUACGAAGGCACCUUUUACUGUUUAAAUUCUCUUUAAAAAGUUGUGUAACACAAAUUUCAUAAUUGUUUAGGCAAGGGAUCAGAUUCAGCGUAGACUAAACAUUUUAAUGAUUAGUCUGUAUAAUAUGGAAUGUUAGAUAUGAAUUGUUUUUGGUUAGUUCAGUUAAUAAUUGCCACUUCUAAUAGAAUCUUAUUCCAUUCAAUAAAGUAACCAGAACUAGAUUUAGGAUGAAUUAAUUCUUUUAAAAUUUUUCUUUAACACGCACUUAUGUCAAAGGAAAAUUCAUUUCAUCAUCAAAUGCCUAAUUGACGUGAAGUAAUUUUAAAGUAGUUUAGGUGAAAAUUGGUUAUGAGAUCUUUUCUAAUUUUUCUUCAAUAUCUAUGAACAAAUAACCAUAUAUUUCCCAGGUAGAGGAACUGUGAAUGCUUUGGAAAGAAAGCAUGAUGCAGUUUAUGCUUUAGAAUCUUAAUUAUUUGGAGAGAAGAUAAGGGUGCAAUUUUUUUUUUGGAUAUACAAUAAUAUUCCAAUGCUUGUGCCAAUAUUAAAGGUUUUACUCAUUUUUCUGUUCUUUAAAUUUGUAGGUUAAUAGAUCAAGAUAUGUUAGAGAUGAAGCCCUAAUUUUUUCUUACAAAGUAAUAUUAUGCACAAUGAACAUGAAAAAACAACUGAAUCCAAAAAAAGAAGGAAAAAGAAAAAAAGGAAAAAAAAAAAAAAACUAUAUGUUCACUCUCAUUAUGAGAUUCGUGUUCACUAGCUAAGUUGAGUUUUCGAUACAAAAUUUUUCCAUGCAUCUCGCACCCUCAAAACAAGCUCCCUGAAAAUAUUAGGGUAACUUUAUACGCAUUUUAUUAGAUUCCAUGCUAUGCAACAAGAGACUAGAAUGAUAAGAAUUGAAUAAGCUUAACAAGAAAUUUUUUAGACAAAACCUCUUCCCGCAGCCCAAGUGAGUGAAAAAUAGAAUAGAAGGAAAUAAAAGAUUGACUGCAAUGUCCAACAACAUAUGAACAAUUUUCUGAAAUUUUUGAGCUUAUUACAUCCGAUCAUUUGCUGUUAAUUCUAUCGUGUAUUAAUCCUAGUUUAUUGUGGAAGUUAUUCUGUUAGGUAAAUUGAAUCCAACAAAAAUUUUGAAGGAUAAAGCAAAUAUGAAGGAUAAAAGCAAACUGAGUUACGUUAUUUUUUAGUGCUUUUCUCUUAUAAUAUUAAUCUCAAAAUUAUUGAUUGCGAAAGUGCCCAGUACACAUCUGAAAGGAAUAUCACAUGAUAGGAAUUCACAGGCCAAUAUGUUUUUAGAUUUUUUUUUUAGCUACUUUUCCUCCCACUAGACAUGGAGCUAUCAAUAUAAAGGGCUGUCACUUGUAUCAAAUGCAUCAAGCACAACACAAAACAUUUCCUUGUAACUCUUUCACAUAUUCGUUUCUUCUACCUUAAAAAAUGUCGUCCAAGGCAGAUCUUGAAAAAAUAGGAAAGGAAGGUUUCGCCAUACUCGAUGCAUAUUAUGAAAAAAGCAUGAGGCGUAAUCCACCAAAACCAAAUUCACAAGAAACAAAACCAAAUUCACAACAAACAAAACCAAAUUCACAAGAAACUAGAAGGUCCUGUUUUUACCAAUACCUAACAUGCUCUUGUUUAUCAGGCAAAACCAGAAGAGAAUAUUAAUUGGUAUGAGGUGUUGCAGUUUAACGAAGGUCUAAUGGUCAAGGAUUAUAGGAGGAAAUCUCAAGCUAUGGCUUAGACUCUCUCUUAUGCACUGUGUUUUAUAUGUAAUAGGAUAUAUAUAGGCACAGAUAAGUAUGCUCCUUUUGUAUGACACAAAAGUGUCAGUUGUAUGAAUACUAGUCAUCUGGAAGUUUUUAAAGGUAUGGAUGAAGUCUGUAACACUUUUUUAUAUGUAUUGAAGCGAUAUCAGAUGUAGUAAUAUCGCUUUUUUAUUAUUAUUAGUCUAAAAUUUAUGGAAUUGAAAAGUUCUCUGAAAGAAGCCUCACAAGAACAUAGGUCACUUCGUUCAGAUUUUUCUUAGCUACUUUUUCCUCCCAUCAUGCAUUCAGAUAUAUAAAGGGUUUCACUUUGUAUCAAAUGCAUCAUGAACAACACAAAACAUUUCCUUAACUUCUUCAUACUUCUUUCUUGUAAAAAAAUGUCAUACAAGGCAGAUCUUGCAAGAAUAGGAAAUGAAGCCUUCGACUUACACGAAGACCGAAGCAUAUCCCAGAAAAAAGAUGGCGACUAAUUCACAAGAACCUAAACUGCAUGUCUUUACCACUACCAAUCACAACAGGCUCGUGUUUAUCAAGUAAAAUAAGAUGAGAUUGAUAUGAGGUGUUGCAGUUUCGCAAAGGGUGAUGUUUAAGGAUUAUAUGAGGAAAUCUCAAUCUAUGGCUUAUUACUAUCUUGCACUGUGUUUAUAUAUAUAUAUAUAUAUAUAUAUAUAUAUAUGCUCUCUUGGUAUGACAAAAGUGGAGUAACUUGUGUAUGUACUAGUCACCUGGCAAUUUUAAGGGUUUUAAUUUUUAGCCCCUAUUUGGCUCAAAUUUUAAUCAAACAAUCAAUAUUAAUCACAUCUUUUAUGUGCCCCUCAAUUUUUCAACCACAUAUUUCAAAAAUUUCUAUCAAAAUCUACGAAGUACUUGUUUGGUACAGAUUUUAAGUCAACUAAAAUCAAUUUUUUGAUCGUUAUUUCAUUAUUUCAGCCGUUAUUUUUGAAUUUUUCUCUCACAGAUAAGACCCAUUUUAUCUCUAACGAUCAAAAAAUUAAUUAUCAAAAUCUCUACCAGACAAGCAUUAAAAAUCUAAUUUUAAUCCAACCACCAUCUUAAUACCAUAAUUAAAAAAAAAAAAAAAAAAAAAAAAAAGAGUCAAAAUCUAAAUUUAAGUCAAAAUGCCAAGCUUAAAAAAAAAAAAAAAAAAAUGGAGAACAAAGAAAGUUAAAAGGGCAAGGUUAGGCAGGGUCUGUACAAGCUAUACACAAUACUAGGGGGUGGGGUAAUUUUUAUUUUUUUUUUAAAUAAUCAUCCACCCCCCAUGUUAUACAGCAGGCAAUUUCCAGGUUAAAAAGUUAGGCGUAGACACAUGGGACCUCUUUAAACAUUUGAUAUAUCCAAAUCUAAAUUGAAUUCAAAAGCCAUUACAUACAUACAUACAUACAUACAUACGUACACAAAACAUAUACAGAGAGAAGCCGAGAAUGGAGAGAGAAAAGAGGAAAGAAAGAAGAAAGAGGAAAGAAAGAAGAGGAGGUAAAUAAAACAAAAAGAAAUAGGAAGUUGCCAACGUGAUUAGAAAAUAAGUGUUUUCUACUAUUAAACUUAAAUUCCUCACUUUGACAAGUAAAAUAUUACUUAUUCAGAAGUUAUGUUAAAUUUUAGAUUUAUUAGAUUAUUAGUUUAAAUUCAAUUUUAUUAAAGGAAGCUGUUGGAUUAAGUAUAAUAAGCGACGAAAUUAAGUUAAAGGGAAGAAAAAAUAGCUUCAAUAAUGAAAGAAAUUGGGAAAAUUGCUUAAGUAUAAAAAGAUUAAGAUUUAAUAUCGCGUAAUUAAUUAUUAUAGUUACUUGAAAUGGUUAAUUGUUAAUCUAAGGUCUCGUUUGGUACCCAUUUUUUUCAACCACACAUUAUUUAUUAAAAUAAUAUUACACAUAAAUAAAAAAAAAUUUCUUUAUUUUUCAACCACACAUUUUCUAUCAAUUUACUAUUAUAAAAUGUAUUUUUACAUAAAAAUGGCUCUCAAAUAGGGCUGGACAAUUCUCCCGAACCGAACCGACCGAACCAAACUCGACAGUUCUUGUCAAAUUAAAUACUCAAACAGGUAUCUAAAUUGAGAAUCGACGGGUACGGUUCGGUUCUCGGUUCUAGAUCAAGAACCAAAGAAUCGAAUAAGAACCGAAUCUUUCUAAUUUUUUUAUAUUGAAUAAAUCAAAUUAUUUUAAUUUUAAUUUUUUAAACAAAUUAACAAUUUCUAAAUUCAAAAUUUUGACCCAAUUAUCCAUUUUAUUGUUUCAUUUCUUAACCCAAUAAAGAUCCAACCCACUAAAUAACCCUAAAUACCUAUACUAAAGUAUAUAACGCUGUCUCGACUCUCGCACUCAGUCUCGCAGCCUCACUCACAUUCCAAAAUCUAUACAACCGCCGACUGACAUGUGACCUCCAAUCGAAGCUGUGACCUCCGCCGAUCGAAACUUUGACCAAAGUGAUUGUUUGAACAAUGUAGUCUACUGGUCUCUGACAUUCCAAAACCAUUGAAUGUGUCAUUAGUUGUAUUUAUGUAAUGUUAUUAUAAAUGUUAAAAAAUUUAAUUAUAAUACGGAACCGAACCCGAACGGUUCCAUAAUUAUAUUUGAAUCCGACGGUUCCAUUUACUUGAUACCCGAAAAUUUUGGUUCGGUUCGGAUAUCUUUAGAACUGAACCUGAACCGACCUGUGCCCACCUCUACUCUCAAACACCCCCUAAAUACUAUAUCAUAUUUCAAGCGGCAAUAUGGGUAAUUGGACAGCUUACCAACCUAGUAGAUUUUGAGUACAUAAUUCGAUGAGUGGAAAAACAUAAAUAUUUUCAAUGGUUGCUAAUUUAAUUUUACUAUUAUAUUAUGUGCAAUUAUGUACAAUUAUAUGUUGGAUUACAUAAAGUUUCUUUUAUUAUGAUACAUAAGGAAUUUAAAGAUUGUAUAUGAUACAUUUGUGAAUUGGAAUAUAAGACAUAAUGUGAUAUUGAGAUCGAUCAAAAAAGUACAUUGAUUAAACUUUCAAAGUAUGCUCAAAUUCUAGUUAGCAAUGAAAUUGACAAAUGCCCGACCGUGGGGAUUUGUGGACAAAUUUCUGGGGCGGAUUUGGCUUUUUAUGUAGAAAAUAUGGCCUUGCUGCAAUCAAUGUUGUGGAUGCAUUUCUUGUGUAAAUUGAAAGAUCGAGAAGCAAUGGAAGUAUUUCUUGUAACGGAUUGGUUAAAGCCAAGUCACUGAUGGAUCCACUGAAUAUUUUUAAGCACAAGCAAGGUAUUUUUCCAAUGCCUCCAGAUGAUGGCAGAUCAAAUUUGAAGAAUGAGGCAUAUGCAAAAGAUUUAUGUAAUCCACUAAAAAUUUAUCGUAAGUAAAGUUUAACUUCUUGUUGGUUCGUAACCCCUGAAAGUAACUUUUUAAAAUUCCAGUGUGUUCGACAAAAAACGUUACAGAAAAGUAACUUUACAUUUAAUCAUGUACUCACUUUCUUAAAUACUGUUUGGUCAAUGAUAUUGUUGUGAUCUUCAAAUCUUCGUGUCAACUUUAGAACUAAUGGAUGUAACUUUUACUAGGGCACCUUUUAGUGUUUAAAUUUUCUUUAACAAGCAGUUUAACAAGAGUUUCAUAAUGGUUUAGGUAAGGGAUCAGAUUCAGAUUAGACUAAACAUUUUAAUGAUUAGUGUGCAUAAUAUGGAAUAUUAGAUAUGAAUUUUUUUUGGUUAGUUCAGUUAAUAAUUGUCACUUCUAAUAGAAUCAUAUUCCAUUGAAUAAAUAAAGGGUUCUCAUGCCCCUCAUAGGGUAGUUGAGUUGGUGGAGUAGGUGAGCGCGGAGUCCUUUAAUCACGAGUUCGAUUCUGCCUACCAGCACUUUUUCAGUCGAGCUUGUCGUACCAGACUUAUAGCAGCAGUGGGAUGGCAAUAACUAAAACUUCAAUACCUAAUGCGGUUUACCUGGUUAGCGUAGUUUGCAGGUUAUUAUGUCAAUUCAAGAGUUUACCCAGUGCGCACCCGAAGGGUAGUGAUUGCGGUUUCCCCAUCAUAGAAAAAAUAAAUAAAUAAAGGGUUCUCAUACUAUGUUGACACGCAAAGUAACUAGAACUAUAUUUAGGAUGGCUUCAGUAGGGAUGAAAUGAAUUAAUUCCUUCAAAAUUUUCUUUAACGCGUCACUCAUGUCAAUGGAAAAUUCAUUUUAAUCAUGAAAUGCCCUCAUUGACGUGAAAUAAUUUUAAAGUAGUGUAGGUGAAACUUGGUUACGAGAUCUUUUCUAAUCUUUCUUCAAUAUCUAUGAACAAAUAACCAUAUAUUUGCCAGGUAGAGGAACUGAGAAUGCUUUGGAAAGAAAGCAUGACGCAGUAUAUGCUUUAGAAUCUUAAUUAUUUGGAGAGAAGAUAAGGGUUCAAUUUUUUUGGAUAUACAAUAAUAUUUCAAUGCUCGUACCAAUGUUAACGGUAUUACUCAUUUUUCUGUUCUUUAAAUUCGUAAGUUAAUAGAUCAAGAUAUGUUAUAGAUUAAGUCCUAAUUUCUUCCUACAAAGUAAUAUUAUGGACAAUGAACAUGAAAAAACAACUGAAUCCAAAAAAAAAAAAAAAUUAUAUGUUCAUUCUCAUUAUGAGAGUCAUGUUCGCUAGCUGAGUUUUCGAUACAAAAUUUUUCCGAUGCUUCUCCUACUCUCAAAACCAGCUCCCUGAAAAUAUUACGGUAAGUUUAUACACAUUUUAUUAGAUUCCGUGCUAUGAACAAGAGAAAGCUUCCCUCAGCCGAAGUGAGUGAAAAAUAGAAUAGAAGGAAAUAAAAGAUUGAUUGCAAUGUCCAACAAUAUAUGAACAAUUUUCUGAAAUUUUUGAGCUUAUUGCAUCUGAUCAUUUGCUGUUAAUGCUAUCAUGUAGUAAUCCUAGUUUGUUGUUGAAGUUAUCCUAUUAGGUAAAUCGAAUCCGUCAAAUGUUUUGAAGGAUAAAGCAAACAGAGUAACGCUAUUUUCUAGUGCUUUUCUCUAAGAAUAUUAAUCUCGAAAUUAUUGACUGCGAAAGUGCCAAACACACAUCUCUGAGAGGAAUCUCACAAGAUAGGAAUCCACAGGCCACUAUUUUUUUAAAUUUUUAUUUGCUAGCUUGUCCUCCCACUUGACAUUGAGCUUUCUAUAUAAAGGGCUGUCACUUGUAUCAAGUGCAUCAAGAACAACACAAAACAUUUCCCUGUAGCUCCUUCACUUACUCAUUUCUUCUACCUUAAAAAAUGUCGUCCAAGGCAGAUCUUGCAAGAAUAGGAAAGGAAGGCUUCGCCAUACUUGAUGCAUAUUAUGGAAGAAACAAGAGGCCUAAUCCACCAAAACCUUAUUCACAAGAAACUAGGAGGUCCUUUUUUCACCAAUACCAACCACAACAGGCUCUUGUUUAUCAGGUAAAACCAGAUGAGAAUAUUAAUUGCUAUGAGGUGUUGCAGUUUAAUGAAGAUGGAAUGGUCAAGGAUAAUAGGAGGAAAUCUUAAGCUAUGGCUUAGACUCUCUUUUGCACUGUGUUUUAUAUGUAAUACGAUGUAUAUAGGCACAGAUAAGUAUGCUCCCUUUAUAUGACACAAAAGUGGAGCCAGUUGUAUAAAUACUAGUCUUCUGGAAGUUUUAAGGGUAUGGAUGAAAGUUUGUAACACUUUGUUAUAUGUAUUGAAGUGAUAUUAGAUGUAGUAAUAUUACAUUUUCUAUUAUAAUUAGUCUAAAAUUUAUGGAUUUGAAAAGUUCUCUAAAAGGAGCCUCACAAGAACAUAGGC